RNAcentral lists this ribosomal RNA (383 nucleotides) under uncultured bacterium. RNAcentral describes it as "bacterial SSU rRNA". It matches the Rfam family "Bacterial small subunit ribosomal RNA", at positions 984 to 1371 of the family's 1533-position model. The record is from RNAcentral.
ACAUGUACGGAACCCUGGUGAGAGCCGGGGGUGCCCGAAAGGGAGCCGUAACACAGGUGCUGCAUGGCUGUCGUCAGCUCGUGUCGUGAGAUGUUGGGUUAAGUCCCGCAACGAGCGCAACCCUUGUCCCCAGUUGCUACGCAAGAGCACUCCGGGGAGACUGCCGGUGACAAACCGGAGGAAGGUGGGGAUGACGUCAAGUCCUCAUGGCCCUUAUGGGUAGGGCUUCACACGUCAUACAAUGGUCGGAACAGAGGGUUGCGAAGCCGCGAGGUGGAGCCAAUCCCAGAAAACCGAUCGUAGUCCGGAUUGCAGUCUGCAACUCGACUGCAUGAAGCUGGAAUCGCUAGUAAUCGCGGAUCAGCAUGCCGCGGUGAAUACGU